This is an RNA transcript of Siniperca chuatsi (mandarin fish), 6063 nucleotides long. RefSeq lists it as uncharacterized. The transcript is spliced from 2 exons. The record is from RefSeq and is a predicted model, not a curated record. NCBI's taxonomy places the organism in Eukaryota, Metazoa, Chordata, Actinopteri, Centrarchiformes, Sinipercidae.
AACAGUUGAAGCGAAAAAAACAGUACCGGUUGGUCACCCUCAGAUUAUCCAUAGGAAUUUUGAUUCUAUUGAUAAUUAUUUUGGGUUUGUGAAAUGUACUGUGCUCCCCCCAAAAGGGUUGUUCCACCCAUCCUGCCCUACUGGUGUCAUGAUAAACUCAUGGUCCCUCUGUGUAGCAAGUGUGCUGAAGAUUUGAAUCAGAGAGAGAUGUAAAUGUCUACAUUUGUGUGAUGACCACAGCUUACGCGAGACUCGAGUUUUAUGGCUUGCUGGAUAAAUGCUGGAAUGCGUGUCGUCUUGUGACACUGACAGUGUUGUUUUUACAUCGCGGGCUCCCUGCCCUAGGUUCGUACCUUGGUGAUGUGACGGAUGAAAUAGGCAAUGAUGACGUGUGUGGCCUUCCUGAGGAAGAUUACAUUACAGAGUUUGUAUCGGGGGGGGUCCUAAGUGCUAUGCCUUGUGUUUCACACAACAUGGUGAAACACAGAUCACAGAUCGGGGUCCUAAGUGCUACGCCUUGUGUUUCACACAGUAUGGUGAAACACAGAUCAAAUACAAAGGUGUAACAUUAAAUGCUAAAAAUGCAGGCAUAAUCACUCAUGAGUCAUUGGUAGGUCUGGUUCAUGCCUUUGUGGCCAAUCAGAAUAGUGAUGCUCACAUGAUGACUGUGUCUGAAACCAUCAAAUGCGAUAAAAGGAAGUUUCAUCUGAAAAACGAGAUAGUUUUUAAGAAAGUCCAGGUCGUGUACAAUAAGCGCAGGGUGUUACCUGAUUAUACUACACUACCUUAUGGAUACUAGAACAGACCAGAGGUUUGACGGCCGUUUAGUCUGGUGGUGAACCGGACAUCAAAUUGUGGAAAGACGUUUUUUGUCAAACUUUAAAAAAAGAGAGACUAUCAACAAAAGAGGAGGAAGGUUUUUAUUACUCUUACUAGGUGCAGCUAUUCCUUUUAUAUAUAGUCUUUUAAAUCGGCGUUGAAAUGGAGCACACUCAAAACAUGUUUUUGGUCCCUUAGCAUCAGCUGGACUCAUUAAAGUAGCAGCAGCAGGAGCAAAACAAUGGUUCCAUAAGACAAACAGUGCAAAAUUAUUUGGAUAGAGCUAUGCUGAAACUACACUACACUAGACGUGUAUGAGAAGGCCAAAAAUAUGCAGGUAUUCUACAGAGAUACCUGUCACUGGUGAGACAGAGGGAGCGUGAAAAAGGUGUAUUGACUUUAUCACUAACCUCCAGUGAAAGUAGUGUUAUGAGUAGAUCGAACCUUGUUACACCCAACGCAGAUGACAGUGCUAAAAAGGACCUCAUUCCAGAAGAAGUUUUAAAACACAUUCCUAAAAGAAGUAAGAAAAAUGCAGAAUACAUUUUGGGAGCAUUGGUCAAAGCAAAAUAUAAUAUCUAAAAAAAUAUCUUGGACAGAUCAGGGAGAAAUUAUUGUUAACAAUCAACCGGUGAGAGAUUCACACUUGUAUUAUUUGGUAAAAAGUGUCACUGUAUCACAUAAUGUUUUAGACAGUUCUAGACCACAGGAGUGGGAAAUAUUUUUAAAAACUUUGGCUAGUUUAAACAUGCCGCUGUGGUUUAAUGACCCAUGACAAAUCAGAUGACAAAAAAAGAGAAAACAUUUCUUGAAUGGUUCACACAGGUUUAGUACCUCUUAGGACACCUGGAUCAAAGCGAUUUAAAUCACCUAGAUCGAACACUACUGCAUGGCUAGAUUUUUGAUUUCUUUUUUACUAUUCCUACGUAUUAUAGGUGUCACAGACACGCCAGGCUCAUCGCACCCCAUCACCAGAAUACUAAUCAGAAACACCUGUCACCAAGCACACACCUGGGACUCAUCUGCUCCACAUCACCCUAGUAUAAAAACACCGCAAUCACUUCAGUCAGUGUCCGGUCUUGUUUAUAUUAAGGACAGAACCCCGCAUCCUAUGAACUACGUCUCAGACUCCUACCCAACGACUACGAGUGUCUUCCUUCCUCCUGUGUCCCCGUGUCCUAACCUGCGUUCCUCUGAUCAACUGAGUGUUUUCCACUUCGGAUCUCCCCCGUGGCUAUUACCAUCAGUUUCAUGGUUUCUUCCUCUUCUAACUGUCGUGUGAUAAUAAAAUAUCUUGGUGUUCAUCUUGUUGUCUCCGGCCUGCUCUGUCCGUAACAGAAGACAGGACCUUACAAGAUUAAGAAUGAGUGCCACGGAUCCGAGCCAGGAGUUGGCAGAUCUCCUGCGCUGUGUCCUCGCCACUCUACCAUCGGCUACCACAUCACCCAUUACUUCCGCUUCCGCUCCGGUUACUCCGCCAUCUCCAACGUGCGCCAGUCCCAUGGCCAAACCUACGCCCUUCUCUGGCUCGGCGGAGGAUUGCAACGGCUUCAUCAUGCAAUGCUCGCUGGUCCUGGAGAUGCAGUCUUCCCUAUAUCCUCCAAAGUGGCCUUCGUGAUUUCCCAGCUCCAGGGGCGAGCCCUACAAUGGGCCGAGUCCAUCUGGACCCAGGGUGGACCCGUGACCCAAUCCCUGUCCAGCUUCCUAGCCCACUUCAGAGAGGUGUUCGGGAGACCAGAAGGUGAUACAUCCGUCAGCGAGCGUCUCUAUCAACUUAAACAAGGUCAACGCUCUAUCCAGGACUACGCCCUGGAAUUCCGGACCCUCGCAGCGGCUAGCGGCUGGAAUGAGCAGUCCCUCAUAACCACCUUCCGUCAGGGAUUGGAGCCAGGGAUAAGACUGCAUCUCGCCUCAUACAAAGACACCAUCGGCCUUGAGCGGUUUAUCCAGUUAGUCCCCAGAGUAGAUACCCGUAUGCAGGCGUGUUUGGCGGAACACCAGGACCAGCAGCCCUACACACCCUCUCUCCGCCAGCCAGAGAACUGCCGCUUUCCAGAACCAGAUCAAGAACCCAUGCAGCUGGAUUCCAGACUGUCUCCAGCGGAGCGGCAGAGACGGUUGACCCGGGGUUCAUGCCUUUACUGUGGAGCUGCUGGACACAACAUUUCCUCCUGCCCAGUAAGACCGCUCCGAACCAUGGUGAGUGCCAUUUCUCCACACCGGCCAUGGGACUGUGCCAUAGACCUCAUACCAGGUGAACCAGUGCCCCACGGGAAAAUAUAUCCACUAUCCCUUCCUGAACAGAAAGCCAUGGGGGAGUGCAUCAAGGAGGCCUUAGCCCAAGGUUAUAUUCGACCCUCUACAUCUCCAGCUGCUUCCAGUUUCUUCUUUGUGGCCAAAAAAGACGGAGGCUUGCAGCCCUGUGUGGAUUACCGAGGACUUAAUCGCAUCACCGUAAAGUUCCAGUAUCCACUUCCCCUCGUACCUGCAGCACUGGAACAACUACGCGGUGCCACUGUCUACACAAAGCUGGACCUCCGCAGCGCGUAUAACCUCAUCCGGAUACGAGAGGGGGAUGGAUGGAAAACAGCCUUCGUAACACCUACAGGCCACUAUGAGUAUUUGGUAAUGCCUUACGGCAUGGUAAACGCCCCCUCUGUGUUCCAGGACUUCAUACAUGAGGGGCUCCGGGAGUGCCUACACAAGUUCGUUAUCGUCUACAUCGACGACAUCUUGAUUUACUCCCGGAGCAUGGCCGAACAUCGCCAACAUGUCGCGGAGGUCCUGGAAUGCCUGAGAGACCAUCAGCUCUUCCUUAAAGCAGAAAAAUGUGUUCCAUCAGUCCUCAGUGCAGUUCCUCGGCUACAACAUCAGUAGCAGUGGCAUCCAGAUGGACGAGGGAAUGGUUGAAGCCAUCCGAAAUUGGCCUGCACCCACCACCAUCAAGGAACUACAGAGGUUCCUAGGAUUUGCUAACUUUUACUCUCGCUUCAUUCGAAAUUAUAGUACCAUCAUUCAACCCCUGACAGACCUUCUCCGUAACAAGCCCAAGUCUCUGUCCUGGCCACCCACCGCAUAAGGAGCCUUCGAUCGCCUCAAAGUCGCCUUCACCAGUGCACCACUCCUAGCUCAUCUGGACCCGGAACUACCAUUCAUGGUAGAAUAUCUCCAAAAUGCCAAAUGACUUAAUCCCCGCCAGGCCUGCUCGGCCCUAUUCUUCACACGGUUCAAUUUCAACAUCUCCUACCGCCCCGGUGCCAAGAACAUCAAGGCAGAUGCCCUAUCUCGCCUCUACUCUUCCAACGAAACCCUCGAAAAACCGGAACCCAUUCUUCCCCAACAUAUUUUUGUGAAUCCCAUCCAGUGGACAGAAACAUCCAUUCUCUCUGUCAAUGCCUCGAACAGCACUCCGCUGGGCUGUCCUCCAAACCAUCAAUAUGUCCCUAGAACCCAACGUAAUCUCCUAAUCCACACCUCCCACACCUCUCUGGGCACUGGUCACCCUGGGGCCAAUGAAACCCUCUUGCUGCUGCGAGAAUGCUUCUGGUGGCCUAACAUGGCUAGGGAAGUUAGAAGGUACAUACGAGGAUGUCAAGCUGUGUCCUCUACCCACACCAAAUAGACCCUGGUCACACCUAGGAGUCGACUUCAUCACCGAUUUGCCACCCUCUAACAGGAACACCUGCAUCCUAGUGGUCGUGGAUAGAUUCUCGAAGUCUGCCGACUUAUUCCACUCAGAGGACUACCCACGGCCAUGGAAACAGCAGAAAAUAUGUUCAACCACAUCUUCAGAUAUUUUGGCAUUCCAGAAGAUAUAGUGUCCGACAGAGGUCCCCAGUUCAUAUCCCGGGUAUGGAAGGCUUUCUUCUUGCUCCUAGGUGUGACCGUCAGCCUUUCCUCUGGACAUCACCUACAAACCAACGGUCAGACGGAAAGGAAGAUUCAGGAAAUUGUGUGCUUCCUACGUACCUUCUGCCAUGGUCUCCAGGACUCUUGGAGCUAGUUCCUGGGUUGGGCCGAGUACGCCCAGAAUUCCCUACGCCAACCCACCACUGGACUCACUCCCUUCCAGUGCGUGCUCGGUCACCAACCCCCGCUCUUCCCAUGGUCUGGAGAACCCUCGGAGGUUCCCGCGGUGGAUUACUGGUUCCGAGAGAGCAAGAGGGUCUGGGAGGCAGCGCACCACCAGCUGCAACGAGCACUCUGCAGGCGUAGGCUGACAGCUAAACAAAGACGAUCCCCUGCUCCAGAAUACCAACCUGGUCAGAAGGUCUGGCUGUCCACCCGAAACAUCAGGAUGCGCCUACCCUGCAGAAAGCUAAGUCCCAGAUUCAUUGGCCCCUUCACCAUCCUCGACCAGAUUAACCCGAGCCUGGCACUCCGACAGAACCCCCCUUGCCGCUGAUCAUGGAGGAUGGAACCGCCUACCAAAUCAACGAAAUCUUGGACUCCCGGCGCCGUGGUGGCAACCUGGAGUACCUGGUAGACUGGGAGGGGUAUGGUCCCGAGGAGAGAUCAUGGGUUCCCAGACACGACAUCCUCGACCCAUCACUACUAGAUACAUUCCACGCAAACCAUCCAGAUUGACCUGCCCCCCAUGGAAAAUGACGGCCACCACGACGCCGGGGUUCCCGGCCCUCAGGAGCGGGCCGUGGGGGGGGGGUGCUGUCACAGACACGCCAGGCUCCACAACCCCGCAAACACAACGCACCCCAUCACCAGAAUACUACUCAGAAACACCUGUCACCAAGCACACACCUGGGACUCAUCUGCUCCACAUCGCCCUCGUAUAAAAACACCGCAAUCACUUCAGUCAGUGUCCGGUCUCGUUUAUAUUAAGGACAGAAUCCCGCAUCCUAUGAACUACGUCUCGGACUCCUACCCAGCGACUACGAGUGUCUUCCUUCCUCCUGUGUCACCGUGUCCUAACCUGCGUUCCUCUGAUCAACUGAGUGUUUUCCACUUCGGAUCUCCCCCGUGGCUAUUACCAAGGACAGUAUCAGUUUCAUGGUUUCUUCCUCUUCUAACUGUCAGUUAACUUCGUGUGAUAAUAAAAUAUCUUGGUGUUCAUCUUGUUGUCUCCGGCCUGCUCUGUCCGUAACAAUAGCAAGAAUUCAUGUAUUUUUAUGAAGGCUAAAUGUGCCAGUGACAGAAUGAAUGUAUUUUUCUAUUGUAUUUUUAAAAAACACUGUAAAACUCUAAACUUGAAUAAAAAUGCAAGUAUUGAUAAAUCAUAUUCUCCAA